CCCAGACAGCCAGGAUGUUGGCUUAGAAGCAGCCAUCAUUUAAAGAAAGCGUAAUAGCUCACUGGUCGAGUCGGCCUGCGCGGAAGAUGUAACGGGGCUAAACCAUGCACCGAAGCUGCGGCAGCGACACUCAGGUGUUGUUGGGUAGGGGAGCGUUCUGUAAGCCUGUGAAGGUGUGCUGUGAGGCAUGCUGGAGGUAUCAGAAGUGCGAAUGCUGACAUAAGUAACGAUAAAGCGGGUGAAAACCCCGCUCGCCGGAAGACCAAGGGUUCCUGUCCAACGUUAAUCGGGGCAGGGUGAGUCGACCCCUAAGGC
RNAcentral lists this ribosomal RNA (315 nucleotides) under Salmonella enterica subsp. enterica serovar Kiambu. Its description in RNAcentral is "bacterial LSU rRNA". It matches the Rfam family "Bacterial large subunit ribosomal RNA", at positions 1084 to 1397 of the family's 2925-position model. Lineage: Bacteria; Pseudomonadati; Pseudomonadota; Gammaproteobacteria; Enterobacterales; Enterobacteriaceae. The record is from RNAcentral.